CCUUCUUCUUCUCUCUGCUUGCCUCUCUCAAAGUCGUGCUCUCUCUUUCUCUCCCUCUCUCCCUCCCUCCAUCUCUAUGGUUCUUUCCCUCUCUCAAAUUUUCUUGCAAAUUUAUAUUGAAUUCAUUGCAUCAGUUUUGUGAUUUAAUGGCCUUUGAUUGCACGUUUUAGUUUUUAAUUGGAGGCUUGUUCUGGACACUGGGGUAGACGGAAUUGGAUCCUCUCUGAGGCAAAUCCUCGGGAUCCUCCUGAUCCAAUGACAUGGACCGUUGAAUUUUAAUCCAACAGCUACAAACAAAGGGCCCCUCUAAAAGUUAUAAUAAUUUUAGCCGUUGGAUCAAAAUCCAACGUCCCGUAUUAGUGGGUCAGGAGGAUCCCGAGGCUUUGCCUCCGAGAGGAUCCAAUUCCGGGAUAGACAUCUAUCUAUUUUAGCCACUACUUUGACGCUCUAGAUUUUUGGUCUGAUUUUGAUGUUUCUUUGCUAUGUGAUGAUGGUGAUGAUUUUUUAGUUCCACUCCAUUUCAUUAGUAUGUUUCAAUCAGUUGGAAGCCGUGUUAAUUGACAAGGAAAACAACCUAAUAGAAAGGCUAACGAGAAUGAAAAUUGCACAUGGAUACAAGCAGAAUUCAAGCUUGUCAACGACCACUAGCACCAUGUGAAAAAAAUUAAACAUGAUUUUAAACAUUCUCGAAAAUCACUUUAAACCAUGUGAAAAAGAAUAAUCAUUUUAAAUAAGUAAUGUCUAAACCAUGUGAAAAAAAAAUUAUACUGUUUAAACUUUCAGGUUUUAGAGAAACCAGUAAUAUGCUACAUGACGAGAUCCACGGGAAGCAUUCUCGAAAGAACUCUUAAAAUGGCCAAAUUGAUCAAGCAAAAGCGAAAUCCACCUUUUGUGGAAAUUUUGCAUGAAAUGAGGAAAAAAUAGAUAUUGCAUUUAGUGCUAAAGUUUUAGGUAUGCCACUUUCGUGCAUCCUCUUCUAGCUGAUGGCACAUAGAAAUAGAGCUAUGGAGAGAGAUCUGGUAUUGAAAAUUCAACCUGCAAAAUUGAUCACAAAAACUUCAUCCAAAAGCGCUUUGACCCUAACCCCUGCUUUUGAUUUAAGCAAUGGCUAAAAUGGCAAUGCCAAGUGGUGGGUCCAAAUCGUGUGCUGGUGCAGAUGUGCUGAAAUUUGAUUGGUUGAUCAUCAGAAAAUGCUGACCAUCUUGUUCUAUAAAUAACCUCCCAAUUCAUCAAAUCUCCUACAUGCCUCAUCAGUUUCUUUCCCUUUAAAAAUAAUCAGUGCACACACAGAUGAUCCUCCCUGUAAUUUUCCACGGCUUUCUUGAACUGUGCAGUUUCCAGAAGAAUUAAACUGGCAGAAAUUUUUCAUGCAGAUACAGAAACAGUUCAAGAAAGCUGUGAAAAACCACCAGCAGGAUCUGAGUUGUUCAUAAAAAGAUUCUGAUUGUCUCCUUCAAGCUUCUAUGCCCUCCCAUGGCUACUGGUUUUCUUCUGCAGUACUUUUGCAGGAAUAUCCUCAUUCCAGCUCUAUAUAACACAUACGCUUUUGUGUUUAUGAUGUGUUUUAGCCUUUUUCUCUCCUUAUGUAUCUUUGUAGGGUUGUGAUUUCCGCACUCACUUUUUCUCCCUGUGUACUCUUUCAUGUUUUUAUUAUAGGGUUUGGAUUGAAUAAGUCAUGGAGAAUCAAGGAAAAGAAUGAACGUGUACAGAAGAAGAAAACGCGAGUGUGAAAUUGCAAGAUUAAACCCGCAAAUUCUUGACAAGAAAGACUUGCACAUGAAUAGUAGGCUGAUCGACAACACAAUUAAAGGUCAACAGUCUUGAAUUCGACGGGCGUACACUCAAAUUAAUCAGUGUAUUAUAGUACCAAAAUAGGCCUUUGAGUCAUUUACAAAGUGCUUUUCCCUAGCUUGAUUCCUCUUGAAGAAAAAAGGCACCUAUGUCUAUGUGAUUGCAACAUUCAUCAAGGCAGACCAUAGGCACUGAAUGAUCAGCUUCAACCUUGUCAUGUUCUUCCUAUGGGGGCUAUGGGAAAAAUAUGAGUCCUUUUCCGUAUAAGAAGGUCGAUAUUAUUAAUAGGCCGGUUUAGGGCAGAUACUAGGCCUGGUUUUAGGCUGUUAGGUCUGUAGCUCUACCCAGGCAUCCACUUUUUGUCAUGUUUGAUUUUCUUUUUGGACGCGGGUUCAGUGCUUUUCACGGACUUUUGCGUAUAAUACAUCAUUGUAAAGCGUUGAAAGUUAAAGUACAUAUGAAUAAAAAUAACACCUUCCCUUUUUAUCCAGAUAA
This is a long non-coding RNA of Pyrus x bretschneideri (Chinese white pear), 2286 nucleotides long. RefSeq lists it as uncharacterized. NCBI's taxonomy places the organism in Eukaryota, Viridiplantae, Streptophyta, Magnoliopsida, Rosales, Rosaceae. The record is from RefSeq and is a predicted model, not a curated record. The transcript has 2 exons.